This 556-nucleotide ribosomal RNA is filed under the name Salmonella enterica. RNAcentral's name for it is "bacterial SSU rRNA". It matches the Rfam family "Bacterial small subunit ribosomal RNA", at positions 110 to 662 of the family's 1533-position model. The record is from RNAcentral. Lineage: Bacteria; Pseudomonadati; Pseudomonadota; Gammaproteobacteria; Enterobacterales; Enterobacteriaceae.
GUAAUGUCUGGGAAACUGCCUGAUGGAGGGGGAUAACUACUGGAAACGGUGGCUAAUACCGCAUAACGUCGCAAGACCAAAGAGGGGGACCUUCGGGCCUCUUGCCAUCAGAUGUGCCCAGAUGGGAUUAGCUUGUUGGUGAGGUAACGGCUCACCAAGGCGACGAUCCCUAGCUGGUCUGAGAGGAUGACCAGCCACACUGGAACUGAGACACGGUCCAGACUCCUACGGGAGGCAGCAGUGGGGAAUAUUGCACAAUGGGCGCAAGCCUGAUGCAGCCAUGCCGCGUGUAUGAAGAAGGCCUUCGGGUUGUAAAGUACUUUCAGCGGGGAGGAAGGUGUUGUGGUUAAUAACCGCAGCAAUUGACGUUACCCGCAGAAGAAGCACCGGCUAACUCCGUGCCAGCAGCCGCGGUAAUACGGAGGGUGCAAGCGUUAAUCGGAAUUACUGGGCGUAAAGCGCACGCAGGCGGUCUGUCAAGUCGGAUGUGAAAUCCCCGGGCUCAACCUGGGAACUGCAUUCGAAACUGGCAGGCUUGAGUCUUGUAGAGGGGGGU